UUCCUGGCUUUUGCAAAUAAGUAUAGGCAGC
This 31-nucleotide non-coding RNA is filed under the name Rattus norvegicus (Norway rat). The record is from RNAcentral. Lineage: Eukaryota; Metazoa; Chordata; Mammalia; Rodentia; Muridae.